CAGGACUCUGAGAUCAUGACCUGAGCCGAAGGCAGAGGCUUAACCCACUGAGCCACCCAGGCGCCCCUAUACAGUAAUCUUGAACAUCAGGGCCCUGUUAGGAGCUUUCUUGGAUCCCUUCAAUGAGAAUCUGGUGGAAUUUCUAGAGGAAGAGCCUGCAAAAGUAUGGAAGUUCUCUUAUGACUACAGUCCCCAGGAACUCCAGCAAAUCAUCAAAAUUACUAUGUGAGUGUUCCUACCAACUUAGAGCAUCCAGUGCCUUCUGCUUCAGAGGUCCCAGGAAAGCAGCCCUAGAGUGACGCUCUGACGACAACCUGCCAACAGCUUGAACUACCACUUGCUCCCUUGGGCACCUGGACUGGUGCCUUGGAUGUGUUCAUAGCUCUGCAGCUUAUUUUACAGCUAUGGAUGCACUGACAUUUGAAUGCUAAAAUUUAGUCUGCUUUUCCUAACUCUGUGACCAUAAUCAUGUGACUGCAUUAGCUCUUUGCCACAUCCAUGAAUACAGAAAGAUGAAGGUGAUGACGGAUUUCACAGCCUUUCUUUUGAUCUGGAUAAUAACAAGAUAUUUCCACAGAGCUCUAACCCUGUCCCUUUAAGUAAAACAUAUGGAGAAUGUCACCUGAAAUAUGAACAAAGGAGAAGUACUUUGAUCUGUACAUGUUCCGUAUUUCCUGGGGUCAUGUUAAUUAACAUUAGUCAGAAUGCCAGAGUGUAAUACCAAUAAUGAUCAUUGUCUAAAUGCUGCAGGAAGAACAUUUGUCAAGAAAAAAAAAAAAAAAACACUUGAUUUCCAGGUACUGGUUGAAACUACAUAAUAAUAAUUAUGCAGAAUGCUGUGUGAUAUGAGGUCCCACAGAGGGAGGAAUGAGGGUAUGAUGAAGUUACUGUGACCAGGCAUCCUGAGAAAGUGAUACCAGCUAUAUGUAAGAGAAAAUACUGUUUGGAUAAGACCCAAACAUAAUUGGUUUAAGAGUCUACAUGGAAAUUUUGUGUUUGAAAUUUUGUUCUAUUUUAGGGAAGCAAAAUACUGUACAGGUAUUUUAUAAUAUAUUUGCCAUAUAUUUGUAUACAACAUUUUGCUACAUGCUUUGAAAGCAUAGAUUUAGGGUUCCAAUUUGGAUUUCAUUCCUGUCCCUAUCAUUGUUGGCUAUAUAACCUUGGGCAAGGCAUUUAAUAUUCCUGAGCCUCAACUACUUGUGAAAUGGAGAAUAAUAGCAAUACCCGCCUCAUAUGGUUAUUAUGAAGAUUAAAUUAGGUAACAUUUAUAAAGUUCUUAGAACAGUGUUUGUACACAGUAUGCACCUAGAAUCUUAAGUAUUUACACCUCCAGCAUCACCACCUUAUUAAUCAAUUAAUUAUUUGUUUAUUUAUAACACAAACCAUUCUAAGAAGUUAAGAGCACAAAACAAUCCUGUUUCAUUCUUCUCUAUAUGUCUGCAUUGGGGGCUGAAUAUUGUUAAACAUAAUGCAUCACAUCAUCAUAUCUAAUGUCCACGUUUAACUUUUAUAACCUCCUCUAAGUUAUGCGUUCUCCACUAAUGCAUAAUGCCUUAAUAAAAAGGAAGUUACUUUUUUUA
Neogale vison (American mink) is the source of this 1580-nucleotide long non-coding RNA. RefSeq lists it as uncharacterized. NCBI's taxonomy places the organism in Eukaryota, Metazoa, Chordata, Mammalia, Carnivora, Mustelidae. The transcript is spliced from 3 exons. The record is from RefSeq and is a predicted model, not a curated record.